This 1522-nucleotide ribosomal RNA is filed under the name metagenome. RNAcentral describes it as "bacterial SSU rRNA". It matches the Rfam family "Bacterial small subunit ribosomal RNA". The record is from RNAcentral.
AGAGUUUGAUCAUGGCUCAGAUUGAACGCUGGCGGCAGGCCUAACACAUGCAAGUCGAACGGUAACAGGAAACAGCUUGCUGUUUCGCUGACGAGUGGCGGACGGGUGAGUAAUGUCUGGGAAACUGCCUGAUGGAGGGGGAUAACUACUGGAAACGGUAGCUAAUACCGCAUAACGUCGCAAGACCAAAGAGGGGGACCUUCGGGCCUCUUGCCAUCAGAUGUGCCCAGAUGGGAUUAGCUAGUAGGUGGGGUAACGGCUCACCUAGGCGACGAUCCCUAGCUGGUCUGAGAGGAUGACCAGCCACACUGGAACUGAGACACGGUCCAGACUCCUACGGGAAGCAGCAGUGGGGAAUAUUGCACAAUGGGCGCAAGCCUGAUGCAGCCAUGCCGCGUGUAUGAAGAAGGCCUUCGGGUUGUAAAGUACUUUCAGCGGGGAGGAAGGGAGUAAAGUUAAUACCUUUGCUCAUUGACGUUACCCGCAGAAGAAGCACCGGCUAACUCCGUGCCAGCAGCCGCGGUAAUACGGAGGGUGCAAGCGUUAAUCGGAAUUACUGGGCGUAAAGCGCACGCAGGCGGUUUGUUAAGUCAGAUGUGAAAUCCCCGGGCUCAACCUGGGAACUGCAUCUGAUACUGGCAAGCUUGAGUCUCGUAGAGGGGGGUAGAAUUCCAGGUGUAGCGGUGAAAUGCGUAGAGAUCUGGAGGAAUACCGGUGGCGAAGGCGGCCCCCUGAACGAAGACUGACGCUCAGGUGCGAAAGCGUGGGGAGCAAACAGGAUUAGAUACCCUGGUAGUCCACGCCGUAAACGAUGUCGACUUGGAGGUUGUGCCCUUGAGGCGUGGCUUCCGGAGCUAACGCGUUAAGUCGACCGCCUGGGGAGUACGGCCGCAAGGUUAAAACUCAAAUGAAUUGACGGGGGCCCGCACAAGCGGUGGAGCAUGUGGUUUAAUUCGAUGCAACGCGAAGAACCUUACCUGGUCUUGACAUCCACGGAAGUUUUCAGAGAUGAGAAUGUGCCUUCGGGAACCGUGAGACAGGUGCUGCAUGGCUGUCGUCAGCUCGUGUUGUGAAAUGUUGGGUUAAGUCCCGCAACGAGCGCAACCCUUAUCCUUUGUUGCCAGCGGUCCGGCCGGGAACUCAAAGGAGACUGCCAGUGAUAAACUGGAGGAAGGUGGGGAUGACGUCAAGUCAUCAUGGCCCUUACGACCAGGGCUACACACGUGCUACAAUGGCGCAUACAAAGAGAAGCGACCUCGCGAGAGCAAGCGGACCUCAUAAAGUGCGUCGUAGUCCGGAUUGGAGUCUGCAACUCGACUCCAUGAAGUCGGAAUCGCUAGUAAUCGUGGAUCAGAAUGCCACGGUGAAUACGUUCCCGGGCCUUGUACACACCGCCCGUCACACCAUGGGAGUGGGUUGCAAAAGAAGUAGGUAGCUUAACCUUCGGGAGGGCGCUUACCACUUUGUGAUUCAUGACUGGGGUGAAGUCGUAACAAGGUAACCGUAGGGGAACCUGCGGUUG